This 900-nucleotide ribosomal RNA is filed under the name uncultured Gemmatimonadota bacterium. RNAcentral describes it as "bacterial SSU rRNA". It matches the Rfam family "Bacterial small subunit ribosomal RNA", at positions 60 to 969 of the family's 1533-position model. The record is from RNAcentral. Lineage: Bacteria; Pseudomonadati; Gemmatimonadota.
AGUCAAGGGGGCCCGCAAGGGCAACCGGCGAACGGGUGCGUAACACGUGAGCAACCUGCCGAUCUGCGGGGGAUAGCCGGCCCAACGGCCGGGUAAUACCGCAUACGUUCUCGAGGGGGAGUCUUCUUGAGAGGAAACCUUUAUUGGGCGGAUCGAGGGGCUCGCGGCCUAUCAGCUAGUUGGCGGGGUAAUGGCCCACCAAGGCUCUGACGGGUAGCUGGUCUGAGAGGAUGGCCAGCCACAUUGGGACUGAGAAACGGCCCAGACUCCUACGGGAGGCAGCAGUGGGGAAUCUUGCGCAAUGGCCGAAAGGCUGACGCAGCGACGCCGCGUGUGGGAGGACGCCCUUCGGGGUGUAAACCACUGUUGCCCGGGACGAACAUCUGGUUUCGACCAGACUGACGGUACCGGGUGAGGAAGCACCGGCUAGCUCCGUGCCAGCAGCCGCGGUAAUACGGAGGGUGCGAGCGUUGUCCGGAAUCACUGGGCGUAAAGGGCGCGUAGGCGGCGCGGAUAGUCGGCGGUGAAAGCCCGGAGCUCAACUCCGGGUCGGCCGUCGAUACUUCCGGGCUUGAGCACUGUAGAGGCAGAUGGAAUUCCGGGUGUAGCGGUGGAAUGCGUAGAGAUCCGGAAGAACACCGGUGGCGAAGGCGGUCUGCUGGGCAGUUGCUGACGCUGAUGCGCGACAGCGUGGGGAGCAAACAGGAUUAGAUACCCUGGUAGUCCACGCCGUAAACGAUGGGCACUAGGUGCUUGGGGGAGCGACCCCCUGAGUGCCGGCGCUAACGCAUUAAGUGCCCCGCCUGGGGAGUACGGCCGCAAGGCUGAAACUCAAAGGAAUUGACGGGGGCCCGCACAAGCGGUGGAGCAUGUGGUUUAAUUCGACGCAACGCGAAGAAC